RNAcentral lists this ribosomal RNA (568 nucleotides) under Paragaeumannomyces longisporus. RNAcentral describes it as "partial large subunit ribosomal RNA". It matches the Rfam family "Eukaryotic large subunit ribosomal RNA", at positions 1 to 579 of the family's 3401-position model. The record is from RNAcentral. Lineage: Eukaryota; Fungi; Ascomycota; Sordariomycetes; Chaetosphaeriales; Chaetosphaeriaceae.
UUGACCUCGGAUCAGGUAGGAAUACCCGCUGAACUUAAGCAUAUCAAUCAGCGGAGGAAAAGAAACCAACGGGGAUUGCCCUAGUAACGGCGAGUGAAGCGGCAACAGCUCAGAUUUGAAAUCUGGCCCUAGGCCCGAGUUGUAAUUUGCAGAGGAUGCUUCGGGCGCGGCGCCUUCCAAGUCCCCUGGAACGGGGCGCCAGAGAGGGUGAGAGCCCCGUACUGUCGGACGCCAAGCCUAUGUGAAGCUCCUUCGACGAGUCGAGUAGUUGGGGAAUGCUGCUCAAAAUGGGAGGUAGACCCCUUCUAAAGCUAACUACUGGCCAGAGACCGAUAGCGCACAAGUAGAGUGAUCGAAAGAUGAACAGCACUUUGAAAAGAGGGUUAAAUAGCACGUGAAAUUGUUGAAAGGGAAGCGCUUGUGACCAGACUUGCACCGGGGCGAUCAUCUGGCGUUCUCGCCAGUGCACUCGCCUCGGUUCAGGCCAGCGUCGGUUCGCGCGGGGGGAUAAAGGUACUGGGAACGUGGCUCCUCUGGGAGUGUUAUAGCCCAGUGCGUCAUGCCCUCU